CCAGACUCCUACGGGAGGCAGCAGUGGGGAAUAUUGCACAAUGGGGGAAACCCUGAUGCAGCAACGCCGCGUGAGUGAAGAAGUAUUUCGGUAUGUAAAGCUCUAUCAGCAGGGAAGAAGAAAGACGGUACCUGACUAAGAAGCCCCGGCUAACUACGUGCCAGCAGCCGCGGUAAUACGUAGGGGGCAAGCGUUAUCCGGAUUUACUGGGUGUAAAGGGAGCGUAGACGGCAUAGCAAGUCUGAAGUGAAAGCCCGUGGCUCAACCGCGGAACUGCUUUGGAAACUGUACGGCUGGAGUGCAGGAGAGGUAAGUGGAAUUCCUAGUGUAGCGGUGAAAUGCGUAGAUAUUAGGAGGAACACCAGUGGCGGAGGCGGCUUACUGGACUGUAACUGACGUUGAGGCUCGAAAGCGUGGGGAGCAAACAGGAUUAGAUACCCGUGUA
RNAcentral lists this ribosomal RNA (445 nucleotides) under uncultured bacterium. RNAcentral describes it as "partial 16S ribosomal RNA". It matches the Rfam family "Bacterial small subunit ribosomal RNA", at positions 331 to 792 of the family's 1533-position model. The record is from RNAcentral.